CGAUCUCGGAGGGAGCUGAACCCGAAGGGGGCGGGCUCGGCGGGGGCGACCUCGCGGCGGGGGAGGAGGAGCCCCGGCCGCGGGAUCAUGGCCGAGCGAGGGUCGGAGUGGAAGGUGGUGCGGACGGGGGUGAUGAUGCGGUAGACGGAGACGAAUCCGUUGGGACGGUUGUUACCGGGGAUGGCAGCGUCGGUAGUGGUGGAGAUGGUGUAGGAGAUGAAGACAGUGUUGCAAGGGUGGAAGGGGACCCCGGGGCGAGCAGCGGCGGAGGCAGCGAGGAGGGAGAGGACGACGACGAGGAGGGGGAAGGCGGAGCCAGAGGAAGCCAUAGCGGGAUCAGCGGAGCGAAGGAAGAUGGGAAGAAUUGGAGU
This 371-nucleotide long non-coding RNA is filed under the name Musa acuminata (dwarf banana). RNAcentral describes it as "long non-coding RNA (MACU_LNC006347)". The record is from RNAcentral. Lineage: Eukaryota; Viridiplantae; Streptophyta; Magnoliopsida; Zingiberales; Musaceae.